GAGAGCAGUCCGGCUUCCCUAGUACUGGUGCAGAUAGGUCCAGAUGUAUCGCCAUAUUUAGUAUCAUUGUGAUUACGAGGGUGUGAGAUAGAUGAGUUCCGAGAUUCUGGUUAUGUGUUGACGGAUGUGAUACACUGGACGAGUUAGAUGGUAAGAGUUGAGUGAUGAAUUUCUCCUUGUAUCCGUGGACCCGAUUGCAUGACCAGAAAUUUCGGGAGUUCUUAGGUGGGAAUUCAAGUAGUCACUUAUAGAACAAUCUUCCAACAGAUGCAUGAUGUGAGGUUGGGGUUCAACAUCUAGUGGAUUCAUUUGUUCACGGUCGUUUUACAGUGGUUCACGUUGUGUCUUAAAGAUACCUUGUAGCUUACUACGACUCGGGGACGCUUUGUAUGUCGUGUGCACUGACUUGUACAUGAUGGCCACUUUAGGAUAGAGCCCGUGCGAACCUCAUCCACGAAAAUAUUGAGCAGAAUCUCUGUCAUGAAUUUGUUCUGGGGGGGGGGGGUUUUAUAAGCCUCAACCUUGUUUUGUUGGAGUACGGUAAUUUAAGUUAUUUCGAUGUCAAGUGGUGAGUUCAUAUCUUUUCAAGCGGUGUUCUCAUAUUUCUAUGGGAAUGCUAAUUAAUUCUUUUGCUCAAUCAAGUUGUCUUAUCAAUUCUUUUCAACCGGAAUCGUCGUGUCAAUUCUUUUCCAUCCGGAGUGCUUCUCUUCAGUUUAUUAUAUCUUCCCCAAGAUUUGCAAGAUGAAUCUAUCAUUUCCUUCUGGAUUUUGUCUCAUAUGUCCCAGGUUGUCUUUGUUUUCCCCUCCCUCCCCCCUUUUCUUCAAUGAUUCAAUUAUCAUCCAAGUGCUCUUCUUUUCAGUAUUGCUUCCGCUAUCUUCUCUUCUGUGUCAUUCCGGUGAUUCAUUGUGAAGAUUCUCAAGAGUCCGAGAUCAUCAUUCUUCAUUCCUGUUUUCUUUUCCGGUGGAUUCAGUUCAAUCUUUCUGUGUUCAUCAAAUCCUUUUCAUUUGUUCAAUGCUCUCUCAUGUUGGAAAUUCUUUUUCAAACCUUGCUUAUUUAUUCAUCUCUCUCUAUUCUAUGUGGAGUGUUGAAAAU
This 1092-nucleotide long non-coding RNA is filed under the name Hordeum vulgare. Its description in RNAcentral is "long non-coding RNA (HVUL_LNC021703)". Lineage: Eukaryota; Viridiplantae; Streptophyta; Magnoliopsida; Poales; Poaceae. The record is from RNAcentral.